AAUGCUGCUGGAUUGUCUUGUAAACUAAACCUGAAGAGCUCUCACCCCCAGCGUCUGGUGUACCUUUCAGAGGCUUUGGCUAUCCUGGGCUAGUAAGAGGCCAUUUUCCAAACUAAAGUCUUACAGGAACCACUGGCAUAGAAUGUGAUCCUAAGGACAUUCUCCGUUUUCAUGAUUGUAACGACAGCUUUAUACUGUCUCCCCCUUAGAAGCAUUGUCAUUAGGGAGAAACUUGUAGAACCGCUGAUUCUCCACAUUGAGAGAAGCCAUGUCAGGUGGCUAGGGCAUUUGGUCAAGAUGCCUCCCGGACACCUCCCUGGAGGCCGAACCGGUAGGGGGCCUCAGGGAAGACUCAUCAAAGUGACUGUCUCUCAAGUAGCCUGGGAAUGCUUCGGGAUCUGCUGGGAGGAGCUGGACUGAGUAGCCACAGAGAGGGAAGUCGGGGCCUCCCUGCUUAGGCUGCUGCCCCUGUGACCAAAUCUUGGAUAAACAGAAGAUGAGUGGAGGAAUGGAUGAUUGCAUGGCUGCUUUGGGUUAUGCAACCCCCCAACAGUACAGAUGGAACUGCAGAUUACGCGCCCUGUGUCCUAUGUUUAUUAGUAAUCUCUAUGUGCUAUUUCUACUAGUGAUUACAUAACACUGUGGUGAGUUCACUGACACGCUUCCAUCUCAACUCACACUGGACGCCCCUCGGAAAUUGCCCUACCGCCGUGUGGGCAGGCUCUUGAGAUGUAAGAAAGUAGUGACUAAUGGCGAGUGCCGGAUCUCAAAUUUGCUAUAAACAUCAUCCAGACUGCUCAGACCUCUCCUGCAGUGGAGGGAUUACAGCGCAGUGGAGCAUGCGGAUGAAGAGAUGAUCUUAUUUAUCGUUUUCUUCCGAUUUCUUAUGAGUAUCAUAAACUGCAUGUUUUCUUUUCCUUGCCAUGAGGAAUCAAUAUACGUUUGUCCAUAUGAUUAAAAAAAAAAAAACGAUCAGAUGAUGAGGUCCCCAUACUGGGUGAAUCCAAAUGUACUGACCUUCACAGUCACACAUGCCACUUUGAAGCAGAUCACUGAGCCAAAUCGCAAACGUCUGGCAACGCUCCAGUGACAUGGCAGUGCAGAAGGCCAAAGAGAGUGCAAGAGCUCAGUAGGGACUGGAAAGACUGUAGGAAAAAUAAAUAUUCGACAGCUGCAGAUCUGCUGUGAUAUGAUAGUUGUUAUUAUCCUGGACACUUCAUUUGGCAAACCAGUACACUCUAAUAAGAGCCAUUACAAGAGCUGUGUCAAAAAUUGUGCCUUUGGACGGAUGAUAAUGCUCAGUUUCAUUUACAAUAAAACAAAACGGUCAUUAUUGGACUUAUACAGUAAAUCCUAACUAUUCCAAGACCACAUGUGAAUGCAGAUUCAUUCCGAUUAAUAGAUGCCCGUAAAAACUUCUGUUUUUGACACUCGGCUCACUCCACAACCUCCCAAACAUCCUGUUAGCUUGACGUUCUCCACCAAUUUCAGAUAAACCUUUCCAAUAAAUCAACAUGCAAUGAUUAGAUUAGAUUCCGCUCCAUAACCAUCCCAAUCUCUCUUCAAUGACUGUUUGCUUGGAUAUUGGAGGAAAACAAAAAAAUAUUUCACUGACGGGAGAGUUGUGAAGGUGUGCUUCUCCUGCAGAGACCUUGCUCAAAGGUAAACAAAAAGGGGAACUGUGUGACAAAUUGAGAUUCACACCUUCGCUGUGAAGAAAAUUGGACCUUGCUUCAAUUUUAAUUGACCAACCCUGGUCUCACCUUGUCUACCUGGUUGUGAGGCUAGCGCUACAACCACGCUUCCAUCUGUUGUGGGGCUGUCUCCAUCUCCCCUAGUGUUGGUUUGCGGCCUUGCCACUGGGUUGUCCGAGCUAGCUGUCAAGAAAAACUGUUUCUCCAAGCUGCGUCCACAUAAUCCACACUGCUUGCCACACUGUAUACUGUAUGCAAUAACGACUUACCAUCGAAUAUUAAAUUGUGUUCACCUCGCUGCUAGUUUUGAGGCUGGAUUUGAAGAAAGCCGACUGUAGAAGCUAGUGCUGCUAUAGCAGCAUGAUGCCAACAACUGGUUUCGCAAUGUAUUUUUACAAAAAAAAGUAGUAUUUAUUUAGUUAUGCUUUAUUCCUUAUUUACACAAUUAAUUAUAAGUGACUUAUGAUGAAUGAGAUAGUGUCUAUUUUUAUGGGGAAAAAUACAAUUUGUAGUGUUGCAAAUCCUGAAUUGCAAAUUUGUGGGUAUGCACUGUUGUGCAUCACCACAAGAGCGUUUAUAUUCCGCCACUUUCCCAUAUGAUCUACAUAUAAACAGUAUCUAGUGGUUAGGAUUCUGUUUUGCUACCUACGUUGCUCAGGUGGACUUCCAGUAAGUGGGAUUUGUGGUUUGAGACCCAUCUGUCACCAAAUGCUUGUCGUCUUGGUUCCCCCCCAAAUCUAAAGCCCCAAGCAUUUAACGUAGGAGACCAGCAGCAACACAUGUGUAUGUGCUUAGCCUCUCUGCCUCACAGCCAGGUGAUUCUGGGUUUGACUCUCAGCUGUACCCUCUUUGUGUUGAGUUUGCUUGUUUGUCUUGUGCAUUUUUUUAAUUGGAGACCCUUAAUUGCCCAUUGGUGUCAAUGUUUUUUUUGUCUGUCCAAUCAGUACUCCACCUCUUGUCCAAAGUCGGCUGUGAUGGUCUCUAGCUCACCUGUGUCUUUGAAGACACAUAACUGUGGUAAACGAAUGAAUAAAUGGAUGCAUGAAUGAUGAUGUGUAAAAUGUAAAGCAAAGUGUAAAGCACAUCAAACGGAUUUCAAGGAGUCGAAUUUUCAUUUACCAGAUGACAAUGAUGGAUUUUACAGAACAGCUGCAUGGAUAGCAGGGGGUUGUCGACCUCCAUUGAAAUAAAUGAUGUCUGGAAUGUCAAAAACUAAAACAGCAUUUGAAAGUCAGAUGUUUUCACAAAGCUAUGAGCAAACACGUUGGAGCUGAU
Non-coding RNA from Doryrhamphus excisus (bluestripe pipefish), 2969 nucleotides. The record is from RefSeq and is a predicted model, not a curated record. NCBI's taxonomy places the organism in Eukaryota, Metazoa, Chordata, Actinopteri, Syngnathiformes, Syngnathidae.